GCACUGCUGAUGAGUCCAACAAUGGGACGAAAUGGUCGUCUAGUAC
Non-coding RNA from Schistosoma rodhaini, 46 nucleotides. Lineage: Eukaryota; Metazoa; Platyhelminthes; Trematoda; Strigeidida; Schistosomatidae. The record is from Rfam.